AUUGAACGCUGGCGGCAUGCCUUACACAUGCAAGUCGAACGGAUUUAAGGGGCUUGCUCCUUAAGUUAGUGGCGAACGGGUGAGUAAAGUAUCGGAACGUACCAUUCAGUGGGGGAUAACGUAGCGAAAGUUACGCUAAUACCGCAUAUUCUGUGAGCAGGAAAGCAGGGGAUCGCAAGACCUUGCGCUGAUUGAGCGGCCGAUAUCAGAUUAGCUAGUUGGUGGGGUAAAGCCCCACCAAGGCUACGAUCUGUAGCGGGUCUGAGAGGAUGAUCCGCCACACUGGGACUGAGACACGGCCCAGACUCCUACGGGAGGCAGCAGUGGGGAAUUUUGGACAAUGGGGGCAACCCUGAUCCAGCCAUGCCGCGUGAGUGAAGAAGGCCUUCGGGUUGUAAAGCUCUUUCGGUGGGGAAGAAAUCGCGCUCGUUAAUAGCGGGCGUGGAUGACGGUACCCGCACAAGAAGCACCGGCUAACUACGUG
This 484-nucleotide ribosomal RNA is filed under the name uncultured bacterium. RNAcentral describes it as "bacterial SSU rRNA". It matches the Rfam family "Bacterial small subunit ribosomal RNA", at positions 30 to 507 of the family's 1533-position model. The record is from RNAcentral.